Molecule: long non-coding RNA, 989 nt
Organism: Dioscorea cayenensis subsp. rotundata (Guinea yam)
Lineage: Eukaryota; Viridiplantae; Streptophyta; Magnoliopsida; Dioscoreales; Dioscoreaceae
Exons: 3
Source: RefSeq, a predicted model, not a curated record
UGCAGCAUGAAAGGAAGACUUAUGAUUUACUAGUUUAACAACUGGGAGAAGAGGAUGAUGCAAGGACACUUUAUAUAGAGAACUGGAUAAAGAAAUUUCAACAGCAUGAAACACAGCAAUUCUGCAAAGCAUGGAGUUGUUUCAAUAGCACUUGCUUUACCAUCAUAAGGCAAAGGCAAAUCAGCAGAAGAGCAAAGGGCAAACUCUUUUUCUAAAGGUUUGCUUGCUUGUCAUGAUUUUUCGUCUAUGUGAAGACACAUCCUGUCAUUGCAAAGGCUCACCACAUUUUAACAAAGGUAAUGUAGGCUGCAACUGAAGGUUCUCAAAGUGGUGCGGCCAAUAGAUUGAUCAGCUCAGCGACUUUCGGGGAGGCCCUUCCAGGGGAAGGAGGUUUGAUGACCUGAUGCUCGAGCAGCUGCCGAAGUUAGGAAAGCCAAAGUUUGGAAAAAAGCUGCUGCCAAAGGUUUUGCUGGUGCAACCAACUUGUGUUCCCACUCCACUGUGCCUAUUCUAAACCAGCUUCUGAACAUGAUCAACACCGGAAACAGCCCCACUGCAAUUGAUUCUAAUGAGGCUGAUUCAAAUCAUUCAGCCUCUGAUAUUAAUGCAUCAAAAUGGAAUGGAUCUGCUAAAACUCAUGAUGAUAAAGUUCCCAUUGGAUUGGGCAGCGGUUUGGCAUCUCUGGACUCGAAGAAGCUAAAGCAAACAUCAAAAUCAAUGGAUUUGAAGAAACAACAGGCAAUGCUUUUCAACUGUUGGAAAUCUUUGAUGUGCUACAGUUUUGGACCUCAAUCAGGCAUUCAAGCUGCCAGCAGAGGACAUUCCUAUUUCCUCUAGAUUAUUCUGUUCAUGAUCAUUAGGUGACCAAGCCUCUAAUAAAAGAGAGCAAGAUUGAUUUCAAUUGAAAAAACAAAAGGAAAUGAAAUACAACUAUACAGUCACCAUUUUCUUCAAGUUUCCAUAUUUCAUUUAAUCAGCAUAAUAAUGCA